Molecule: ribosomal RNA, 449 nt
Filed under: uncultured bacterium
Lineage: Bacteria
Description: bacterial SSU rRNA
Rfam family: Bacterial small subunit ribosomal RNA
Source: RNAcentral
AACGAACGCUGGCGGCAUGCCUAACACAUGCAAGUCGAACGAAGCCUUCGGGCUUAGUGGCGCACGGGUGCGUAACGCGUGGGAAUCUGCCCUUGGGUUCGGAAUAACAGUUAGAAAUGACUGCUAAUACCGAAUGAUGUCUUCGGACCAAAGAUUUAUCGCCCAAGGAUGAGCCCGCGUCGGAUUAGCUAGUUGGUGAGGUAAAGGCUCACCAAGGCGACGAUCCGUAGCUGGUCUGAGAGGAUGAUCAGCCACACUGGGACUGAGACACGGCCCAGACUCCUACGGGAGGCAGCAGUGGGGAAUAUUGGACAAUGGGCGAAAGCCUGAUCCAGCAAUGCCGCGUGAGUGAUGAAGGCCUUAGGGUUGUAAAGCUCUUUUACCCGGGAUGAUAGUGACAGUACCGGGAGAAUAAGCCCCGGCUAACUCCGUGCCAGCAGCCGCGGUAA